This 277-nucleotide unclassified non-coding RNA is filed under the name Hevea brasiliensis (rubber tree). The record is from RNAcentral. Lineage: Eukaryota; Viridiplantae; Streptophyta; Magnoliopsida; Malpighiales; Euphorbiaceae.
GAAAAAUGUGCCAUCCAGAUUAAGCAGAUGUUACAGUUGUGUCAUAUAUAGAUCUUCCACUCAAAUUACAGAAACAGAAACACAGCGAUCUCAGACAGAGACAGGCAGGCCGUGAAGGCCAGGGAACAGCGUACAACGGCAGCAUCACUUCAUGUACCUCUGCAGAAACUUACGGUGGAAAUCACUUCUGAUAGUGUCGUUGAUGAAACGUUUCGGUGUCUUGGUCUCUCCACGAGCCUGGUUCUUGAAUACAACAUCAUCAUCCCACCUUCUCUUA